GUCAAUGGCCAUACCACCCUGAACACGCCUGAUCUUGUCUGAUCUUGGAAGGUAAGCAGGGUCAGGACUGGUGAGUACUUGGGUGGGAGACCAUGUAGGAAUACCGAGUGCUGUACGCU
Molecule: ribosomal RNA, 119 nt
Filed under: Pteropus alecto (black flying fox)
Lineage: Eukaryota; Metazoa; Chordata; Mammalia; Chiroptera; Pteropodidae
Source: RNAcentral